RNAcentral lists this ribosomal RNA (315 nucleotides) under Triticum aestivum (bread wheat). Its description in RNAcentral is "partial small subunit ribosomal RNA". The record is from RNAcentral. Lineage: Eukaryota; Viridiplantae; Streptophyta; Magnoliopsida; Poales; Poaceae.
AAGUUUCCAUUACUGUUUGAAAUCUGUGUGGAGCAAAACUGUACUGUUGAUAGAAUCGACACGUUGAAUCAUAUUACCUCCUUUAGGAGGAGGAUGUCCCCUCAAAAGAUGAAACAAUGGGAUAAAAUGAAAAAGGAGGUAUUAACACUUAAGCAAAAUGAUCUGCCAGAUGAGAUUUAUUGGAAAUUUGAUAACUCUGGAAAAUACAUGACCAAAUCGAUGUAUAGGUGGUUGGAAAAAGAUAUUGCUGGGUCUAGCUUCAAGUGGAUUUGGGAUGCUAAGCUCCCCCUAAAAAUCCAAAUCUUCUUAUGGUAG